GACGAACGCUGGCGGCGUGCCUAACACAUGCAAGUCGAGCGGGGACUUGGGAGCUUGCUUCCAAGUUCUAGCGGCGGACGGGUGAGUAACGCGUGAGCAACCUGCCUCAAACAGGGGGAUAACGCAUCGAAAGAUGUGCUAAUACCGCGUAAGACCACAGUGCCACAUGGCACAGGGGUCAAAGGAGCAAUCCGGUUUGAGAUGGGCUCGCGUCCGAUUAGCUAGUUGGUGAGAUAACGGCCCACCAAGGCGACGAUCGGUAGCCGACCUGAGAGGGUGAUCGGCCACAUUGGAACUGAGAAACGGUCCAGACUCCUACGGGAGGCAGCAGUGGGGAAUAUUGGGCAAUGGGCGAAAGCCUGACCCAGCAACGCCGCGUGAGGGAAGAAGGGUUUCGGCUCGUAAACCUCUGUCCUAUGGGACGAAGGAAGUGACGGUACCAUAGGAGGAAGCCCCGGCUAACUACGUGCCAGCAGCCGCGGUAAUACGUAGGGGGCGAGCGUUGUCCGGAAUGAUUGGGCGUAAAGGGCGCGUAGGCGGCCUGCUAAGUCUGGAGUGAAAGUCCUGCUUUCAAGGUGGGAAUUGCUUUGGAUACUGGUGGGCUGGAGUGCAGGAGAGGAAAGCGGAAUUACCGGUGUAGCGGUGAAAUGCGUAGAGAUCGGUAGGAACACCAGUGGCGAAGGCGGCUUUCUGGACUGAAACUGACGCUGAGGCGCGAAAGCGUGG
RNAcentral lists this ribosomal RNA (726 nucleotides) under uncultured bacterium. RNAcentral describes it as "bacterial SSU rRNA". It matches the Rfam family "Bacterial small subunit ribosomal RNA", at positions 28 to 764 of the family's 1533-position model. The record is from RNAcentral.